This 253-nucleotide ribosomal RNA is filed under the name uncultured bacterium. Its description in RNAcentral is "partial 16S ribosomal RNA". It matches the Rfam family "Bacterial small subunit ribosomal RNA", at positions 524 to 776 of the family's 1533-position model. The record is from RNAcentral.
UACGGAGGGGACUAGCGUUGUUCGGAAUUACUGGGCGUAAAGCGCACGUAGGCGGAUUUGUAAGUCAGGGGUGAAAUCCCGGGGCUCAACCCCGGGAGGCGGGCGGAUACUGUCGGGCUAGAGUCCGGAAGAGGCAAGUGGAAUUCCUGGUGUAGCGGUGAAAUGCGCAGAUAUCAGGAGGAACACCGAUGGCGAAGGCAGCUUGCUGGGACGGUACUGACGCUGAGACGCGAAAGCGUGGGGAGCAAACAGG